AUUGAACGCUGGCGGCAUGCCUUACACAUGCAAGUCGAACGGCAGCACGGGAGCAAUCCUGGUGGCGAGUGGCGAACGGGUGAGUAAUAUAUCGGAACGUGCCCAGUCGUGGGGGAUAACGCAGCGAAAGCUGUGCUAAUACCGCAUACGAUCUAUGGAUGAAAGCGGGGGAUCGCAAGACCUCGCGCGAUUGGAGCGGCCGAUAUCAGAUUAGCUAGUUGGUGGGGUAAGAGCCCACCAAGGCGACGAUCUGUAGCUGGUCUGAGAGGACGACCAGCCACACUGGAACUGAGACACGGUCCAGACUCCUACGGGAGGCAGCAGUGGGGAAUUUUGGACAAUGGGCGCAAGCCUGAUCCAGCAAUGCCGCGUGCAGGAUGAAGGCCUUCGGGUUGUAAACUGCUUUUGUACGGAACGAAACGGCUCUUUCUAAUAAAGAGGGCUAAUGACGGUACCGUAAGAAUAAGCACCGGCUAACUACGUGCCAGCCGCCGCAGUAA
Molecule: ribosomal RNA, 500 nt
Filed under: uncultured bacterium
Lineage: Bacteria
Description: partial 16S ribosomal RNA
Rfam family: Bacterial small subunit ribosomal RNA
Source: RNAcentral